AUUGAACGCUGGCGGAAUGCUUUACACAUGCAAGCCGAGCGGCAGCGCGGGGCAACCUGGCGGCGAGCGGCGAACGGGUGAGUAAUGCAUCGGAACAUGUCCAUGUCGUGGGGGAUAGCCCGGCGAAAGCCGGAUUAAUACCGCAUACGCCCGAGAGGGGAAAGUGGGGGACCGCAAGGCCUCACGCGAUUGGGUUGGCCGAUGUCCGAUUAGCUAGUUGGCGGGGUAAGAGCCCACCAAGGCGAUGAUCGGUAGCUGGUCUGAGAGGAUGGUCAGCCGAACUGGGACUGAGACACGGCCCAGACUCCUACGGGUAGCAGCAGUGGGGAAGUUUGGACAAGGGGGGCAACCCUGAUACAGCCAUUCCGCGUGAGUGAAGAAAGCCUUCGGGUUGUAAAGCUCUUUUGUCCGGAACGAAACGGGUAGGUCUAAUAAGCCUGCCUACUGACGGUACCGGAAGAAUAAGCACCGGCUAACUACGUGCCAGCAGCCGCGGUAA
This 499-nucleotide ribosomal RNA is filed under the name uncultured bacterium. RNAcentral's name for it is "partial 16S ribosomal RNA". It matches the Rfam family "Bacterial small subunit ribosomal RNA", at positions 29 to 523 of the family's 1533-position model. The record is from RNAcentral.